Molecule: long non-coding RNA, 1254 nt
Filed under: Anas platyrhynchos platyrhynchos (common mallard)
Lineage: Eukaryota; Metazoa; Chordata; Aves; Anseriformes; Anatidae
Description: lncRNA (ENSAPLG00000019449.1)
Source: RNAcentral
GUUGCUUACUGUCGGCUGUGCUUGGCAGCCUUCAAGUAGGCUUCGCUAUGGGCAGCAAGAAUCGGAGGAUGGGGACUGAGCCAAAAUGAAGUGGACAGGUUUUCUUCCCUUUUGCAUUGCACAUCUUGGACCAAACAUCCUUUAUCUUUGAAAAGUACUGAUAUGAAAUACACUCAUCACUAAUAAGGCUGAACAGAGCAAAAGAUGCAGGAUUUGUCAUGCUCCCUUUUGGCCGGCUUCUCUUCUCCAGGGCUUCACUGGAAUAUGAAGGCUGUGGCAGAACUGCUGUAAUUGGUGCACUCUUGAAAAUAUGAUGAUAUAAAUAACCAAAAUGAGCCUGAAGUGGAGGGGACGUCAGAGAUUUUUUGGUCUGCUCCUUGAGGUAUAACAUGAAACUCGGAGAUUUAACAAAAUCUUCUCUCCCACCCAUCACUGAUGGAGCCUCAGAAGUAACUGUUAAUAGCUGGAACAGUGCCUCAGCCAGCCCCUUUGGUGGCUCCAGAAUGGCUUUCCCUUGGUCUAGCCUGCCUUCUCUUACCUCUGCCAGCACGCCUGAUUUUAAAGUAAUCUUACAAGCUGAGGAGCUCAUGCGCGUGUCUGAACCUGGAGGAGGAAUUGCUUCAUCACUGGAGGGGAAGGAAAAGGCAUCAAGGUGCAAGGGCCGUCCCACCAACACAAGACUCCCUCCUUUGGCAAUCUCUCACACCAAACCUGCAGCCCUUCACCCACAGAGUUUGCAUAAGAGAGAAGCAAGAAUAAGAUGCUCAGCUCCCCUGUGCCCCAGGCUGGUGCCUAUCAGUGACGUGACACAGCUGCAGGGGGAUUUUCUGGUGGAGCAGGCCCUGUGACCCCUGCUCAGGACAAGCAGGACCCCUGCCCACGUCCACAUUGCAGUCAUGGGUUUUCUCGGGUCCUGCAGCUGGGAGCACAGGCACCUUGGCAUGUGUCUGUGCUUUGUUAGUUGGUUUCCACUACAGGUGCCCUCUGAGGAUUCAGCAUGAGCAUUUGAGAAGCUAUCCUGCUUAGUUUGCUUCUUGACAGGACUGAUUUUGCCCAACUCUGUUCUGUUAAUUAAGAAAUAGCACAAGAGAGUAACAGAUCUGCUCUCUAGCAUUUUUUUUUUUUAAGACGUCACUGAACAAACAUCCUGUAGCUCUCUUAAUUUACAUGAAGAUCUUUCCUGACCAUGUACAGUACUCAAUCACAUCCAUAUUGGGGAAUAAAUAAUAACAACAUGAAAAAGAUAAGACUGAA